GUUGGGAUCUAAAAAAGUGGCAAGUAGAAAUUCCUUCUUAAAGAAAAGGUGAGUUAAAAAUGACAUUUUUAACCGGAUUCUAAAGCCUGACGAGCUCAAAUUGUGUUUUGGACUAAGCAAACCACCUUGUUCUCCCAAACCCCUUCAAUUUUGCCAGUGUUCCCAGAGCAUGGGCUGUGAAAAUGGUAUCAGGAUGAAGAGAUGAGGUAAGACAGCCCCCAUGAUCCUAGGGGAGAUAGGCAUGUCCCGCAGCUGUGGCUGUGCUCCUGCUGUGGGUCCACCAUGACAGGCACACCUGUGGAGACACAAAAGGCCUCACGUAGCCCAAAAGGUCCUCCAAUCUGGAGAGGAGCUGGGCUGUUUUCUGGCUCUGAGAUUGGGAGUGGAGUACAAAGAUGGUGGGAAAACACCUAUUCACCUUCCCACUGAAACAUAGGACCUCCCUGCCUGGGGCCUGUUUGUUGUAAAAUGGUAAAGGAGGGCCCUGACUGGGAAGAGGAGAAAUUGCAGGCCCUGCAGGCUGGGGCACAGAGCUCCCUGUUGAAUUAAAAAAAAGCACCAAGAAGGUGGUGAUAUGGCCCAGGAACCAUUCUAACAGAGCAAGCCUUGAGCUGGCAGAUGCUCGCGCACAUAAUACAGUGCCUUUCUGCUGCUGUUCAGUUACUUUGUGAAUGCCACCAGAAGUCUCAAAUAAGGAUAGCACUCAUAUACUCACCAUCCUGAGAAAAAAAACAUCUGAAGGCCUUAAUCUCCUAUUGCAAAAAAAAAAAACAAAAAAACAUUGUCUUGGCCAUCAGUACACCACCAGGCUCUGCAGUAUCUUUGCCUGCCUGGGGGUUUUGGCUUUCCAUAUGCAAAAUCAGCUCUGAUGUGGUGCAGGUGAGUUUGAGUCUGCCUCACCACUAUGGAUGUGUCACCUGCUCAAGGAACUUCAGACUGGCCCUUUUUGCUGACAUCCAAUGCACUCUGCCUUUCUUGUGUGGACACAGUGGACUGCCCCAGCUUCAGUGGAAACAGCCUGUUGUCUUGCUAUUGCUUGUGCCUUAUCUUGCUAUGCCUGUGACUCGUAACUCAUCCUUGCAGAUCAGCCCACUGAUACAUGAUUGCUGCACAAUGAAUCUCCGCUCGUCGUAGGUCAUCAUGCUACCACACAUCUUCAUCGUGUUGCACAGCUAACUAAUGACUACAUCUGACUUCUGCAUCCCACCCUUUCCCCAGGAUGUCUGUUCGCCUUUGUGCACAGAAGCCAGCCAUACCUAUUUACUGCUGGGAUGGAAUAAUAAUUAGGAUUUUUUUCUCUUGAAUUAUAGUUUUUACACUGUUGCUUACUGUUAUGCAGAAAUAUAUUGAGGAGUAAACACAACUUGACUGCAAUGACAAAAAGGAGAAGAAAUAUCUGUCUUCAGUGGGAGUAUAGUUAUGGUCUCAAAACUGAUUAUAGCGAUAACUUUUAUCAUGCUCUUUCUUCAUCCUUAUUCCUGUAGGUUAAGACUCAAGUCAUUGAUGCAAUGUCCCAGAAAUAACAUUUUGGCUUAUUCCCAGAUGGUAUACUCAACAGGGUAUCUGUAGCUGCUUGCACAUAAUUUACAAGGAAAACCUAUAGGACCAUAACAUAUUCUCAGUAAAACCCCAAACCUUUGACUUCUAAGCUUGCUCAUGAUAAAUAUCCCAGCUACGUAAAAACUGGAGCACACCCUCAGAGAACAGAGACAUUCAAUCUUCAUAACCAUUUAAAAAGAAAUAUACAUCACAGAUGGAAUGGUUAGAAACAAGCAUCCUCCUGAAUGCAAGUGUGCAGGGUAUCCAACCAAAUAGCUGACUUCCAUAGAUUUAACCCUGCUUUUUAUUGUGUCCUUAUAGAUUUUAUACCUCUAAUAUAUAAAUAUAUAUAUGCACAUAUAUACAUUUAUACUUACAUUUGUCAACACAUGAAAAUGUCUUUUCCAAGGUAACAUUAAUACUGUGAGCAGGAAAAGCCAUCAGUUCUUGGUUCAGUAGGAUUAGUCAUCUUUCCCUGACAAUAUCAUAAACCUGAAGACCUACUUAGACUAAGUGCCUGCUUUUACAAUGCUAUAUGUAGGUAGGAUGAUUCACUCUUAAUUUAAGAGCCACAUUUGCAUAACAAGACAGCGUCAGUUAAAUGUCUAAAUGCCUGGAUCAGAUUUUCCAGCUUCCACAGAACACAAAGCCAUCACUGAUCUCAGCAUGAAGCGAACUCUGUGAAAUCAAACUCCAUUUGUAGAUACAAAGCAUGUUGCAGGGAUGUGACCCUACUGUUCUGUUUAGACCACAAGAGCAACUAUAUAGCAUCAGACUGAAGUCUGAAAAUGGCCAACGACAGCAAAGAGCUGCUAGAGGUUUCUGUGCUCGAGGUUGUACCGAGGCUAUUAUGUUUAAUAGUUACUGAUGACUUUCUUGAAUUUUUUAGCCUAUUCAUGAACCUCACUCACUUUGAACAAAUUUGCACUUUUGAUUUCUAAAUACUCUGUGAUGAUGAUUUCCAGAGCAGAGCUAAUAGUUGCCCUUUUCUAUGUAUAACACUGAUAAAGGUCUUCUCAGUGGAAGAGACAUGAUGGGAAUAUAUUUCAUGUGACCUUGCUGGAAUUAGACUGCCUCAUGGGAAUUUAGUUCAUAUGGCCUUGCUGGAAUUAGAUUGCCUGAAAAGCAAACUAGGGAACUUUUAGUGAGGGUCAUUGUAUAAUGUGUAGGCCAAAAGCCAUCAUUUUUCGAGACAUGAAUCAUUUUUCCGGAAGAAAAGGAAAAUGGAAAAUGAAUAUCACCUGCCUUGAAUAUGUAAGGGAGAGUCAGGCCUUCUUUCACUGAUUUAACUGAAUUAAAAGUAAGUAUUUUCUUGCUUGGCAUGUCUAAAGUUACAAGAACUCUGUAGAAGCUAAGGCAGCCAAACUGUGCGUGUGCUGCCUGAGGCUCCUUGCUUUCAAAGGCUCCUGGGCAUCCUCCCAGGGGCAUGCCAGGUAAAAGCAACGCUUUCUCCAUUUAACCAUAAAAUAGAAGACCAAGGACAACCCUUCCAAAACCAGCAUCAGUUUCACAGGAUGACAACUUAUGUACUUGGAAGACAUAGAUUUUGCAUAUUUGUAGGACCGGAAAAGUCAGACUAAAAAAUAAUCAUAAAUCAAUCCUACAGAUGGUUUUUCAUCUUUGCAUUCUCUCUAACUGCUGAUACACACACCUUGAUGCAGGCACAAGGUCCUGCACUUUGCAACUUCUCAGACAGUACACAGGCUGUCUUGAGUUUGAAGUCUUUAGGUUCAAGCUGUCUGUCUGACUAAACUUUUCAGAAACUGUCCCCUUUCCCUCUUAAGCCAGCAGCCUACUUUCUGAUGAAAUCACAGUCAAAGCAUGACCACACAUCAUCCAGUGAAGUGCGCUGGGAGAGUUCCUGUGAGCUUGUGCAGCACUGACAUAGGCUGGGCUGGAGUGAAGGUGAGGGGAAGGAAGGGAACAGCAAAAAUGAGUGCACAAUAUGAACAGCAAAUAAAUUCUCUUGCUACCAAAGGCA
Long non-coding RNA from Numida meleagris (helmeted guineafowl), 3520 nucleotides. NCBI's taxonomy places the organism in Eukaryota, Metazoa, Chordata, Aves, Galliformes, Numididae. The record is from Ensembl.